UCGGGAAUUUUGGACAAUGGGCGAAAGCCUGAUCCAGCCAUGCCGCGUGAGUGACGAAGGCCUUAGGGUUGUAAAACUCUUUCGUCGGGGACGAUAAUGACGGUACCCGAAGAAGAAGCUCCGGCUAACUUCGUGCCAGCAGCCGCGGUAAUACGAAGGGAGCUAGCGUUGUUCGGAAUCACUGGGCGUAAAGCGCACGUAGGCGGAUAGUUAAGUCAGGGGUGAAAUCCUGGGGCUCAACCCCAGAACUGCCUUUGAUACUGGCUGUCUCGAGGUCGAGAGAGGUUGGUGGAAUUCCUAGUGUAGAGGUGAAAUUCGUAGAUAUUAGGAAGAACACCAGUGGCGAAGGCGACCACCUGGACUGAUACUGACACUGAGGUGCGAAAGCGUGGGGAGCAAACAGGAUUAGAUACCCUUGUAGUCCCUGAGCGGGCUGGCAAGGCGCAU
Molecule: ribosomal RNA, 447 nt
Filed under: uncultured bacterium
Lineage: Bacteria
Description: bacterial SSU rRNA
Rfam family: Bacterial small subunit ribosomal RNA
Source: RNAcentral